GAUCCUGGCUCAGGAUGAACGCUAGCUACAGGCUUAACACAUGCAAGUCGAGGGGCAGCAUGAACUUAGCUUGCUAAGUUUGAUGGCGACCGGCGCACGGGUGAGUAACGCGUAUCCAACCUACCCUUGUCCAUCGGAUAACCCGUCGAAAGGCGGCCUAACACGAUAUGCGGUUCACCGCAGGCAUCUAACGUGAACGAAAUGUGAAGGAGAAGGAUGGGGAUGCAUCUGAUUAG
RNAcentral lists this ribosomal RNA (236 nucleotides) under uncultured bacterium. RNAcentral's name for it is "partial 16S ribosomal RNA". It matches the Rfam family "Bacterial small subunit ribosomal RNA", at positions 15 to 244 of the family's 1533-position model. The record is from RNAcentral.